Molecule: ribosomal RNA, 253 nt
Filed under: uncultured bacterium
Lineage: Bacteria
Description: partial 16S ribosomal RNA
Rfam family: Bacterial small subunit ribosomal RNA
Source: RNAcentral
UACGAAGGGGGCGAGCGUUGUUCGGAUUUACUGGGCGUAAAGGGCGCGUAGGCGGUUAGGUAGGUCCGUUGUGAAAACUCGAGGCUCAACCUCGAGACGCCGAUGGAAACCAUCUAACUAGAGUCCGGAAGAGGAGAGUGGGAUUCCUGGUGUAGCGGUGAAAUGCGCAGAUAUCAGGAAGAACACCCGUGGCUAAGGCGGCUCUCUAGUACGGUACUGACGCUGAGACGCGAAAGCGUGGGGAGCGAACAGG